CCCCUCUCAGGUUCACACCUGGAGAGUUUCCAGUACUCUACCAAUCUCGGCUAUGUGAGGGACAGUCCAGCAUAGGUACUCAUUCCAUUCCUAGCUUGGGCAGUGGCUAGCUAGUGGAAGGCAAUCUGCUACAAGC
Small nucleolar RNA from Ornithorhynchus anatinus (platypus), 136 nucleotides. The record is from RefSeq and is a predicted model, not a curated record. Lineage: Eukaryota; Metazoa; Chordata; Mammalia; Monotremata; Ornithorhynchidae.